GUACACUCCUACGGGAGGCAGCAGUGGGGAAUAUUGGACAAUGGGCGCAAGCCUGAUCCAGCCAUGCCGCGUGAGUGAUGAAGGCCCUAGGGUUGUAAAGCUCUUUCACCGGUGAAGAUAAUGACGGUAACCGGAGAAGAAGCCCCGGCUAACUUCGUGCCAGCAGCCGCGGUAAUACGAAGGGGGCUAGCGUUGUUCGGAUUUACUGGGCGUAAAGCGCACGUAGGCGGACUAUUAAGUCAGGGGUGAAAUCCCGGGGCUCAACCCCGGAACUGCCUUUGAUACUGGUAGUCUUGAGUUCGAGAGAGGUGAGUGGAAUUCCGAGUGUAGAGGUGAAAUUCGUAGAUAUUCGGAGGAACACCAGUGGCGAAGGCGGCUCACUGGCUCGAUACUGACGCUGAGGUGCGAAAGCGUGGGGAGCAAACAGGAUUAGAAACCCGGGUAGUCCCAUGA
RNAcentral lists this ribosomal RNA (453 nucleotides) under uncultured organism. Its description in RNAcentral is "partial 16S ribosomal RNA". It matches the Rfam family "Bacterial small subunit ribosomal RNA", at positions 331 to 800 of the family's 1533-position model. The record is from RNAcentral.